RNAcentral lists this ribosomal RNA (429 nucleotides) under Chloroflexota bacterium. RNAcentral describes it as "Chloroflexi bacterium partial 16S ribosomal RNA". It matches the Rfam family "Bacterial small subunit ribosomal RNA", at positions 355 to 776 of the family's 1533-position model. The record is from RNAcentral. Lineage: Bacteria; Bacillati; Chloroflexota.
UGGGGAAUAUUGCACAAUGGGCGCAAGCCUGAUGCAGCCAUGCCGCGUGUGUGAAGAAGGCCUUCGGGUUGUAAAGUACUUUCAGCGGGGAGGAAGGGAGUAAAGUUAAUACCUUUGCUCAUUGACGUUACCCGCAGAAGAAGCACCGGCUAACUCCGUGCCAGCAGCCGCGGUAAUACGGAGGGUGCAAGCGUUAAUCGGAAUUACUGGGCGUAAAGCGCACGCAGGCGGUUUGUUAAGUCAGAUGUGAAAUCCCCGGGCUCAACCUGGGAACUGCAUCUGAUACUGGCAAGCUUGAGUCUCGUAGAGGGGGGUAGAAUUCCAGGUGUAGCGGUGAAAUGCGUAGAGAUCUGGAGGAAUACCGGUGGCGAAGGCGGCCCCCUGGACAAAGACUGACACUCAGGUGCGAAAGCGUGGGGAGCAAACAGG